UGGGGAAUAUUGGACAAUGCGGGAAACCGUGAUCCCGCAAUGCCGCGUGAGUGAUGAAGGCCUUAGGGUUUUAAAGCUCUUUUACCAGGGAUGAUAAUGACAGUACCUGGAGAAUAAGCUCCGGCUAACUCCGUGCCAGCAGCCGCGGUAAUACGGAGGGAGCUAGCGUUGUUCGGAAUUACUGGGCGUAAAGCGCGCGUAGGCAGCUAUCCAAGUCAGGGGUGAAAUACCGGGGCUCAACCCCGGAUCUGCGCUUGAAACUAGGUAGCUAGAAUACUGGAGAGGUGAGUGGAAUUCCGAGUGUAGAGGUGAAAUUCGUAGAUAUUCGGAAGAACACCAGUGGCGAAGGCGACUAACUGGACAGUUAUUGACGCUGAGGUGCGAAAGCGUGGGGAGCAAACAGGAUUAGAUACCCGUGUAGUCC
Molecule: ribosomal RNA, 424 nt
Filed under: uncultured prokaryote
Description: bacterial SSU rRNA
Rfam family: Bacterial small subunit ribosomal RNA
Source: RNAcentral